RNAcentral lists this ribosomal RNA (568 nucleotides) under uncultured bacterium. RNAcentral's name for it is "bacterial SSU rRNA". It matches the Rfam family "Bacterial small subunit ribosomal RNA", at positions 337 to 919 of the family's 1533-position model. The record is from RNAcentral.
UCCUACGGGAGGCAGCAGUGGGGAAUUUUCCGCAAUGGGCGAAAGCCUGACGGAGCAACGCCGCGUGAGGGAUGAAGGCCUCUGGGCUGUAAACCUCUUUUAUCAAGGAAGAAGAUCUGACGGUACUUGAUGAAUAAGCCACGGCUAAUUCCGUGCCAGCAGCCGCGGUAAUACGGGAGUGGCAAGCGUUAUCCGGAAUUAUUGGGCGUAAAGCGUCCGCAGGCGGCCCUUCAAGUCUGCUGUUAAAAAGUGGAGCUUAACUCCAUCAUGGCAGUGGAAACUGUUGGGCUUGAGUGUGGUAGGGGCAGAGGGAAUUCCCGGUGUAGCGGUGAAAUGCGUAGAUAUCGGGAAGAACACCAGUGGCGAAGGCGCUCUGCUGGGCCAUCACUGACGCUCAUGGACGAAAGCCAGGGGAGCGAAAGGGAUUAGAUACCCCUGUAGUCCUGGCCGUAAACGAUGAACACUAGGUGUCGGGGGAAUCGACCCCCUCGGUGUCGUAGCCAACGCGUUAAGUGUUCCGCCUGGGGAGUACGCACGCAAGUGUGAAACUCAAGGAAUUUGACGGGGA